This 474-nucleotide ribosomal RNA is filed under the name uncultured bacterium. RNAcentral's name for it is "partial 16S ribosomal RNA". It matches the Rfam family "Bacterial small subunit ribosomal RNA", at positions 28 to 507 of the family's 1533-position model. The record is from RNAcentral.
GAUGAACGCUAGCGGCAGGCCUAACACAUGCAAGUCGAGGGAGGAGCCUUCGGGCUUCGACCGGCGUACGGGUGCGUAACGCGUAUACAAUCUGCCUUUCACAUAGGGAUAGCCCGAAGAAAUUUGGAUUAAUACCUAAUGGUAUAUAGAUGUGGCAUCACCUUUAUAUUAAAGCUGAGGCGGUGAAAGAUGAGUAUGCGUUCUAUUAGCUAGUUGGAGAGGUAACGGCUCCCCAAGGCGACGAUAGAUAGGGGUUCUGAGAGGGAUAUCCCCCACACUGGUACUGAGAUACGGACCAGACUCCUACGGGAGGCAGCAGUGAGGAAUAUUGGACAAUGGUCGGAAGACUGAUCCAGCCAUGCCGCGUGCAGGAAGACGGCCUUAUGGGUUGUAAACUGCUUUUGCAGGGGAAGAAUAAGGACUACGCGUAGUUUGAUGACGGUACUCUGAGAAUAAGCAUCGGCUAACUCCGUG